UGGAGGAGAUGUCUUGCAGAUCAUGGAGUUCAACCCUUAUUUGACGCAGAUGAAAGAGCCCGAGAAGCUGCUGAUUUGCUUCACCUGCAGUCACACAGUUAGUUGCUAGCCAAGUGUUAGUCCCUUAGAGAAUGUUCUACUCCCAAUUCUUGGACUUCUGGUGUUUAAGUUCAGGGAGAGGAGAUUGGUUACAGAGAAGCACAGAAGGAAGACAACAUGAAGACACAGAAUGGAGGCUCUCUCUAUGCCACACAGAGGAGUCUCAGAAGAAGCCAAUCUUGCUGGCACCUUGAUCUCAGGCUUCCAGCCUCCAGAAUUGUGAGAAAAUAAAGUUCUGUUGUUUGUCACCCCACCUGUGGUAGGUUGUUAUGGCAGCCUGAGGAAAUUAAUACAGGUGUCCUAAAGGAAAGGUCCAUGCUCUCGUAGCUACUUGGCAACCCCCUGGGUGAGUAAGAUGCAGCUGUGAUGCAGGAACGCAUUGUCUGCAAGUCCUCAGCUGCUGAGGGAAGGCUGGGCCCUGUGCUUGGCUGCAGCGUGUGACCUCUGACACGGAAGCACUUUUCCAGCCCUUGGCUGACCCAGGAACGCAUUGUCUGCAAGUCCUCAGCUGCUGAGGGAAGGCUGGGCCCUGUGCUUGGCUGUGCGUAUGACCCUGACACGGAAGCACUUUUCCAGCCCUUGGCUGACCCAGGAACGCAUCUGCAAGUCCUCAGCUGCUGAGGGAAGGCUGGGCCCUAUGCUUGGCUGCAGCGUGUGGCCUCUGACAUGGAAGCACUUUUCCAGCCCUGGAUGACUCUUGGAGUGAGUAUUAUCAUAGACCAUGUCCGUACAAUUUACGUUCCCCAAUGAAUUAACUUUCAUUUAUAAGACUCAGAAGAAAUUCACUGAGGUCGGCUGAAUGAAAACUCAACAUCAGUAGCAUUUUGUAAUUGAUGACGAUGAUGACGAUGAAUGAAUUUGUGUAUGAUGACUAUCAAUAUCUGUUACUUUUUGUUUGUUUUUUGGAUUUUUUUUUUUUUUUUUGCAUGUCUUAACUCCCUACCUUGGUUUUAGCCUCAUUGUGGACAAGGAGUACAAUAACAUACUCAAUUUUGUAUCCUUUGCUGUUAAUUAAAAAAAAAUCCUCGUUCGAUGAGAAGAAAAAUUAUCAGCAAUUAUGCUAACAAGCAGCUCCCCUGGUCUUGUUAUGAGCACAAGGUCAUUUAAUUGGGGCCCCUUGGAGACGCUCCGUCAGACUCCCCGUUGACAUACUGCCAUCUGGUGGAGCUGGGCCGGCGGAUCAGCUUUCACAGUCCGAUGUUGCCUGUGUCUCGACAUAUGUUUGUUCCCGGUUCCUGCUGAUUUUCCUGACAGCUGUCCAAAUCCAGGGGCGAGCACCACACAGGCCCAGGCCUUGGCAAAAUACUGAAGGAGGCAAACAUUUGCUUCGGUAUUCUGCUGCUUUCCCUAUCAGUGAUACUCACAGCCUGGUGUGCUUCCUCCUCUGGAUGAAAUCUUGAAUUCUAUUGCACAAAUUAACAUCUCUUUCCCUGCCCCAAAUUUCUUUGAUUUGCAUAGACCUCACAGUUUAUACAUUGCUUCUGAAACUCCUCUCCCAUUUGAUUCUCAAACAACUUUUUGAGUGUGCUGGACUAGAAUAUUAACUUCCUUCAACACAAAUUUAUUGAAUAUUGAUUGUACUCAGACUGAGAACUAGGGUUACAAAGACAGACCAGGGCCAACUUAAUUCAUAGUUACAGAAGGCCCAGUACCUGGAGGCCACAAUAUUUUUAGAACCCAU
This is a long non-coding RNA of Papio anubis (olive baboon), 1780 nucleotides long. NCBI's taxonomy places the organism in Eukaryota, Metazoa, Chordata, Mammalia, Primates, Cercopithecidae. The record is from Ensembl.